Molecule: ribosomal RNA, 417 nt
Filed under: uncultured bacterium
Lineage: Bacteria
Description: bacterial SSU rRNA
Rfam family: Bacterial small subunit ribosomal RNA
Source: RNAcentral
UAUUGGUCAAUGGGCGGGAGCCUGAACCAGCCAAGUCGCGUGAGGGAAGACGGUCCUACGGAUUGUAAACCUGUUUUGCCGGGGAGCACCGGGGUCCUUGCGAGGGCCCAACGACGGUACCCGGAGAAAACGCCUCGGCUAACUCCGUGCCACUAGCCGCGGUAAUACGGAGGAUGCGAGCGUUAUCCGGAUUUAUUGGGUUUAAAGGGUGCGUAGGCGGGCUGUUAAGUCAGCGGUCAAAUGUCGGGGCUCAACCCCGGCCUGCCGUUGAAACUGGCGGCCUCGAGUGGGCGAGAAGUAUGCGGAAUGCGUGGUGUAGCGGUGAAAUGCAUAGAUAUCACGCAGAACUCCGAUUGCGAAGGCAGCAUACCGGCGCCCUACUGACGCUGAGGCACGAAAGCGUGGGUAUCGAACAGG